Flagelloscypha sp. PMI_526 is the source of this 96-nucleotide non-coding RNA. Lineage: Eukaryota; Fungi; Basidiomycota; Agaricomycetes; Agaricales; Niaceae. The record is from the annotation of a GenBank genome assembly.
GCCCUGCUAGCUCAAUCGGAUAGAGCGUCAGACUCUUAUACGUUGAAAACAACUAAUGUUAUCUGAAGGCUGCGAGUUCGACCCUCGCGUGGGGCU